UGUGUGUGAUGUUAGUGAUGUGUGUGUGAUAUGUGUGUGAUGUGUAUGUGUGUGUGUGUGAUGGAUGUGUGUGUAUAUGUGAUGUGUAUGUUCGUGUGUGAUGUGUGUGAUGUGUGUUUGGGUGUGUGUGUGUGAUGUGUGUGAUGUGUGUGAUGUGUGUGUGAUGUAUGUGAUGUGUGCGUGUGUAUGAUGUGUGUGUGUGUGAGUGAU
Molecule: long non-coding RNA, 210 nt
Filed under: Lathyrus oleraceus (garden pea)
Lineage: Eukaryota; Viridiplantae; Streptophyta; Magnoliopsida; Fabales; Fabaceae
Description: Pisum sativum (pea) long non-coding RNA (PSAT_LNC040624)
Source: RNAcentral